Molecule: ribosomal RNA, 430 nt
Filed under: Cryptocercus relictus (relict cockroach)
Lineage: Eukaryota; Metazoa; Arthropoda; Insecta; Blattodea; Cryptocercidae
Description: partial 12S ribosomal RNA
Source: RNAcentral
AAACUAGGAUUAGAUACCCUAUUAUUUUUGAUGUUAAUUAUUUAACCUGAGUAGUAAUAGAUAUGGUCUUGAAACUUAAAGAAUUUGGCAGUAUUUUAUUCUGUUCAGAGGAACCUGUUCUUUUAUCGAUAAUCCUCGUUGGACCUUACUUGAUUUAUUGAUUUGUAUACCGCCGUUGUAUUGAGGAUCUUUAUAGUGUUUAUAAUUUUCUGUAUUUUACUUUAAGUUAUUUCAGGUCAAGGUGCAAUUUAUGAUUAAGUGGAAAUGGGUUACUUUUAUAUUUAUUUUUGGAUUAUUGAGUGUAAUUUUGAUAUGAAAUUGGAUUUGAAUGUAAUUAUUAUUUUAGAUUGUAUUGAUGAUUUAGUUUCUAGAAUGUGUACACAUCGCCCGUCACUCUCGUUAUUUAUUCGAGAUAAGUCGUAACAUAGUA